CCUACGGGUGGCAGCAGUGGGGAAUAUUGGACAAUGGGGGGAACCCUGAUCCAGCGACGCCGCGUGAGUGAAGAAGUAUUUCGGUAUGUAAAGCUCUAUCAGCAGGGAAGAAAGAAAUGACGGUACCUGACUAAGAAGCCCCGGCUAACUACGUGCCAGCAGCCGCGGGAAUACGUAGGGGGCAAGCGUUAUCCGGAUUUACUGGGUGUAAAGGGAGCGUAGACGGCGAUGCAAGUCUGAAGUGAAAGGCGGGGGCCCAACCCCCGGACUGCUUUGGAAACUGUAUGGCUGGAGUGCAGGAGAGGUAAGUGGAAUUCCUAGUGUAGCGGUGAAAUGCGUAGAUAUUAGGAGGAACACCGGUGGCGAAGGCGGCCUGCUGGACUGCGACUGACGUUGAGGCCCGAAAGCGUGGGGAGCAAACAGGAUUAGAUACCCCUGUAGUC
RNAcentral lists this ribosomal RNA (443 nucleotides) under uncultured bacterium. Its description in RNAcentral is "partial 16S ribosomal RNA". It matches the Rfam family "Bacterial small subunit ribosomal RNA", at positions 338 to 795 of the family's 1533-position model. The record is from RNAcentral.